AGUGUGCUGCGUUACCGCACAUCAGGCGCUGUUGUUGGAGCCGGAACACCGUGCGACUCUGACAGAACCGGCCCCCUCCUCGCGCACACACUCGCCGAGCCGCGCGCGCCCCUCCGCCGUGACAGUGGCCGUGGCCGCCGCUCUCUCGGGGCACCCGGCAGCCAGAGCGCGGCGAGAGCGGGCGGUCGCCAGGGUCCCCUCCCCAGCCAGUCCCAGGCUCCCGGUGCACUAUGCGGGGCACGUGCGCCCCCCAGCUCUAAUCUGCGCGCUGACAGGAGCAUGAUCUGUGCCCAGGCCAGGGCUGCCAAGAAUCUGUACCAGAACAGAUUUUUAGGCCUGGCCGCCAUGGCGUCUCCUUCUAGAAACUCCCAGAGCCGACGCCGGUGCAAGGAGCCGCUCCGAUACAGCUACAACCCCGACCAGUUCCACAACAUGGACCUCAGGGGCGGCCCCCAUGAUGGCGUCACCAUUCCCCGCUCCACCAGCGACACUGACCUGGUCACCUCGGACAGCCGCUCCACGCUUAUGGUC
This 531-nucleotide small RNA is filed under the name Pongo abelii (Sumatran orangutan). RNAcentral's name for it is "processed transcript". Lineage: Eukaryota; Metazoa; Chordata; Mammalia; Primates; Hominidae. The record is from RNAcentral.